AUACGUAGGGGGCGAGCGUUGUCCGGAAUUACUGGGCGUAAAGUGCGCGCAGGCGGCCUGUUAAGUCAGGUGUUAAAAUGCGGAGCUUAACUCCGCACCGCACUUGAUACUGGCAGGCUUGAGUGCAGGAGAGGAAAGUGGAAUUCCUAGUGUAGCGGUGAAAUGCGUAGAUAUUAGGAGGAACACCAGUGGCGAAGGCGACUUUCUGGACUGCAACUGACGCUGAGGCGCGAAAGCUAGGGGAGCGAACAGGAUUAGAUACCCUGGUAGUCCUAGCCGUAAACGAUGGGUACUAGGUGUUGGGGGUGACAAUCCUCCAGUGCCGCAGUUAACGCAUUAAGUACCCCGCCUGGGGAUUACGACCGCAAGGUUGAA
Molecule: ribosomal RNA, 375 nt
Filed under: uncultured bacterium
Lineage: Bacteria
Description: bacterial SSU rRNA
Rfam family: Bacterial small subunit ribosomal RNA
Source: RNAcentral